RNAcentral lists this ribosomal RNA (458 nucleotides) under uncultured bacterium. RNAcentral's name for it is "bacterial SSU rRNA". It matches the Rfam family "Bacterial small subunit ribosomal RNA", at positions 29 to 532 of the family's 1533-position model. The record is from RNAcentral.
AACGAACGCUGGCGGCAGGCCUAACACAUGCAAGUCGAGCGCCCCGCAAGGGGAGCGGCGGACGGGUGAGUAACGCGUGGGAACGUACCCUUUGCUACGGAAUAGCCUCGGGAAACUGGGAGUAAUACCGUAUGUGCCCUUCGGGGGAAAGAUUUAUCGGCAAAGGAUCGGCCCGCGUUGGAUUAGGCAGUUGGUGGGGUAAUGGCCUACCAAGCCGACGAUCCAUAGCUGGUUUGAGAGGAUGAUCAGCCACACUGGGACUGAGACACGGCCCAGACUCCUACGGGAGGCAGCAGUGGGGAAUCUUAGACAAUGGGCGCAAGCCUGAUCUAGCCAUGCCGCGUGAGCGAUGAAGGCCUUAGGGUUGUAAAGCUCUUUCAGUGGGGAAGUAUAAUGACUGUACCCACAGAAGAAGCCCCGGCUAACUCCGUGCCCAGCAGCCGCGGUAAUGUAGACGU